CCUGGUUGUCUAGGACCUCCCCUCACCUGGUUGUCUAGGACCUCCCCUCACCUGGUUGUCUAGGACCUCCCCUCACCUGGUUGUCUAGGACCUCCCCUCACCUGGUUGUCUAGGACCUCCCCUCACCUGGUUGUCUAGGACCUCCCCUCACCCGGUUGUCUAGGACCUCCCCUCACCUGGUUGUCUAGGACCUCCCCCUCACCUGGUUGUCUAGGACUUCAUACUGACACAUUAAAAAGUGAAAUAACUAAAACCAGCAGAUGACUGCCCUCCAUGGAAUGAGUUUGGACACCUUCUGAUCUAGUGCCUUUCGACAGAAGCACAGAUCCAGGAACAGUCUCCAUUUCCUCAACCUUAACUAGUGUAGUAUAAGUUAACUACUAGGGGGGGGGAUCUGCAUGAAAACUGACCUGAGAUCAGUGUCGUGUUUUAUAAGAUGACCACUUCCUCUCUUUUACAGGUGACAUUCCUUUCCUCCUUAAACAUGUGUCGCUUUGUAUUCCUUCCCCCCCACUGAUUCAGUAGCAGGAAGGAGUUUUGAGGUGUCGCGUUGUAUUCCUUCCCCCCCACUGAUUCAGUAGCAGGAAGGAGUUUUGAGGUGUCGCGUUGUAUUCCCUCCCCCACUGAUUCAGUAGCAGGAAGGAGUUUUGAGGUGUCGCGUUUUAUUCCCCCCCCCCCCCCCACUGAUUCAGUAGCAGGAAGGAGUUUUGAGGUGUCGCGUUGUAUUCCCUCCCCCACUGAUUCAGUAGCAGGAAGGAGUUUUGAGGUGUCGCGUUUGAUUUCUUCCCCCACUGAUUCAGUAGCAGGAAGGAGUUUUGAGGUGUCGCGUUUUAUUCCCUCCCCCCCACUGAUUCAGUAGCAGGAAGGAGUUUUGAGGUGUUACGAUAUCAUAGAGCCUUUUAGCGUCACAGAAUACCAGUCUACUGAUAGCAUUAAUACAACGUUUGUUAGUUUGUACAUAUACCAGUAAUAGGAUCCAUGUUUCUCUAUCAUGUCUUUUACAUUUCUAGGAGAAGUUGUUGUUUUAACUAUUUUUUUUCAGAUGAUCUGUCUGUCUGUGGAAGAUUUAUUGUUAAUAAUUGUAAAGGAUCAAAAAUAAAUGGGAGUUUGUAGAGA
Oncorhynchus tshawytscha (Chinook salmon) is the source of this 1116-nucleotide long non-coding RNA. The record is from Ensembl. NCBI's taxonomy places the organism in Eukaryota, Metazoa, Chordata, Actinopteri, Salmoniformes, Salmonidae.